AAUCAAGGCGCCAUUUUUAAAGUAUUCUCAUAGCCCCUGACGCGGGUAGGACGCGUAGUGCUGAGCUUGGCCCCAUUUCACAGAGGAGGGGACUCUCUGGGUGUCUCCGCGGCAGCAGGAGGGCGCGGCCGAAGCCCCAAGCCCGGUCCUCCGCCGCCACCAACACCUUCCAGCCGGCCGGGUAUCCCCCUGCCGGCUGGGACUUUCGACUUUAUCAGCUCGACAGCAGCAAGAACAAAUCAUGCAUUGCUGGAGUGAGUCACCAGGGAACCCAUCUCUGACUGAGUUCUUUGCUGUCCACGGUCCAACACUGCCCCCUCGUGUUGAAGGGUUGGGUUUUAAUCCCCUCUCUGGAGCUUCCCUGGUGGUUCAGCUGGUAAAGAAUCCACCUGCAAUGUGGGAGACCUGGAUUCAAUCCCUGGGUUGGAAAGAUCCCCUGGAGAAGAGAAUGGCUACCCACUCCAAUAUUCUACCCUGGAGAUUUCCAUGGACAGAGGAGCCUGGCAGGCUGCAGUCCAUGGGGUCGCAGAGUCAGACACAACUGAGUGACUUUCACUUUCUGUUUCCAGAGUCUGGAACAUUGCUUGACACUUGGUAAACAGUCCAUAAAUACUUAUGAACUGACUUCAGGCAGUUUCUGUCAUCAACAGUCAUGUGCUGACACUGUUUUGGGGCCCUGGUUAAGACAAGGCAUCUAC
Bos taurus (domestic cattle) is the source of this 698-nucleotide long non-coding RNA. The record is from Ensembl. NCBI's taxonomy places the organism in Eukaryota, Metazoa, Chordata, Mammalia, Artiodactyla, Bovidae.